AUGCGCAGUGCCCUAGCGGCUGAGGAGCGAAGCGAUUUGGCAGGCGCUAGAGCAGACGGCGGACGGCCGGGGCAUUCUCAGCUGCGCUAUUCUCGCUGCCGCGCGCACGGCAGGCCUUCCUAACAUAUUGACAUCGAAAUUUGGCGCGAUGCCAAUGUCGUGUGUCGCGUACGGCUGCAGUUCACGUGACAGUCCCAGCAGGACAGUGCGGUUUUUCCGAUUUCCGUCGGUAAAACGAGAUCGACAGCGCCGUGAAGCCUGGAUUAGGGCAGUGAAGCGGCAAGAUGCGCAAGGACGUCCAUGGCAGCCGUCAGCAGCAUCUCGACUCUGCGGGAAGCACUUUGUGACAGGGGCACCUUCACUGUCACCCAGACAUCCGGACUUCAUACCGACGCUGUUCGUGUAUACAGACCAGUUCAGAAAGAAGGACGCGGUCGACCGCCAUGUUCGUACCGCGGCGCGUUCCAAGAGGAAAACAGGCGCUCCACCAACAGCAGGUGCAGACUCUUCAUUCGACGAGGAAGGAGCAGCUGAUGCACUCUUGCUGCUUGCAACAUCCCCAAUGCUCACUGAGCCACAGGAGGUCCUAGAGCCAACGCCCUUAAGCAGAGAGGAGAACACUGACCACCUAUUAACUGAAAAUGUGGCAUUACAACGGAAAGUCAGGGACCUAGAACUGCAAUGCAGAAAGCUAAAACGCUGCACGUUUUCUGUGGAUACUAUUCACAAAUCGUCUUUUAAGUUUUAUACAGGACUGCAAAGUAAGGAACAGUUUGAAGCACUCUUUAAGCACAUUGAAAAAAAUGCAGAACGCAUGGUUUAUUGGGAUGGAGGAAAAACACAAGCAAAGGAAAGACAGCUCUCCAAGCGCGAAGAACUUUUCAUGGUGCUGUAUAGGCUCAGGACUGGUGUUUGUGCCAAGGAAGUGGCUCGAAUCUUUGGAAUUUCUCAGUCAUGCCUUAGUCGCAUCUUUUGUACAUGGGUAAUUUUUCUUGAUAAAGAGCUCUCAGCGUUGACAAGGUUUCCCACAUUA
Dermacentor albipictus is the source of this 1033-nucleotide non-coding RNA. The record is from RefSeq and is a predicted model, not a curated record. Lineage: Eukaryota; Metazoa; Arthropoda; Arachnida; Ixodida; Ixodidae.